CCUACGGGAGGCUGCAGUGGGGAAUAUUGCACAAUGGGCGCAAGCCCGAUGCAGCCAUGCCGCGUGUGUGAAGAAGGCCUUCGGGUUGUAAAGCACUUUCAGCGGGGAGGAAGGCGGUGAGGUUAAUAACCUCAUCGAUUGACGUUACCCGCAGAAGAAGCACCGGCUAACUCCGUGCCAGCAGCCGCGGUAAUACGGAGGGUGCAAGCGUUAAUCGGAAUUACUGGGCGUAAAGCGCACGCAGGCGGUCUGUCAAGUCGGAUGUGAAAUCCCCGGGCUCAACCUGGGAACUGCAUUCGAAACUGGCAGGCUAGAGUCUUGUAGAGGGGGGUAGAAUUCCAGGUGUAGCGGUGAAAUGCGUAGAGAUCUGGAGGAAUACCGGUGGCGAAGGCGGCCCCCUGGACAAAGACUGACGCUCAGGUGCGAAAGCGUGGGGAGCAAACAGGAUUAGAUACCCCAGUAGUC
This 465-nucleotide ribosomal RNA is filed under the name uncultured Klebsiella sp. RNAcentral's name for it is "bacterial SSU rRNA". It matches the Rfam family "Bacterial small subunit ribosomal RNA", at positions 338 to 795 of the family's 1533-position model. The record is from RNAcentral. Lineage: Bacteria; Pseudomonadati; Pseudomonadota; Gammaproteobacteria; Enterobacterales; Enterobacteriaceae.